This 253-nucleotide ribosomal RNA is filed under the name uncultured bacterium. RNAcentral's name for it is "partial 16S ribosomal RNA". It matches the Rfam family "Bacterial small subunit ribosomal RNA", at positions 524 to 776 of the family's 1533-position model. The record is from RNAcentral.
UACGUAGGGGGCAAGCGUUAUCCGGAUUUACUGGGUGUAAAGGGAGCGUAGACGGCGAUGCAAGUCUGAAGUGAAAGCCCGGGGCUCAACCCCGGGACUGCUUUGGAAACUGUAUGGCUGGAGUGCUGAAGAGGCAAGCGGAAUUCCUAGUGUAGCGGUGAAAUGCGUAGAUAUUAGGAAGAACACCAGUGGCGAAGGCGGCUUGCUGGACAGUAACUGACGUUGAGGCUCGAAAGCGUGGGGAGCAAACAGG